ACGGGAGGCAGCAGUGGGGAAUAUUGCACAAUGGGGGAAACCCUGAUGCAGCGACGCCGCGUGAGUGAAGAAGUAUUUCGGUAUGUAAAGCUCUAUCAGCAGGAAAGAAAAUGACGGUACCUGACUAAGAAGCCCCGGCUAACUACGUGCCAGCAGCCGGGGUAAUACGUAGGGGGCAAGCGUUAUCCGGAUUUACUGGGUGUAAAGGGAGCGUAGACGGUUUUGCAAGUCUGAAGUGAAAUGCGGGGGCUCAACCCCUGAACUGCUUUGGAAACUGUAGAACUAGAGUGCAGGAGAGGUAAGCGGAAUUCCUAGUGUAGCGGUGAAAUGCGUAGAUAUUAGGAGGAACACCGGUGGCGAAGGCGACUUACUGGGCCGUAACUGACGCUGAGGCGCGAAAGCGUGGGGAGCGAACAGGAUUAGAUACCCUGGUA
RNAcentral lists this ribosomal RNA (434 nucleotides) under uncultured Lachnospiraceae bacterium. Its description in RNAcentral is "bacterial SSU rRNA". It matches the Rfam family "Bacterial small subunit ribosomal RNA", at positions 341 to 792 of the family's 1533-position model. Lineage: Bacteria; Bacillati; Bacillota; Clostridia; Lachnospirales; Lachnospiraceae. The record is from RNAcentral.